GUCCGCACGAGCGCAACCCUUAUCCUUAGUUGCCAGCGAUUCGGUCGGGAACUCUAGGGAGACGUGCCGGUGGAUAAACCGGAGGAAGGUGGGACGACGUCAAGUCAUCAUGGCCCUUACGAGUAGGGCGUACACACGUGCUACAAUGGUAUGUACAGAGGGAGGCAAGCUGGCGACAGUGAGCGGAUCUCUUAAAGCAUAUCGUAGUCCGGAUUGGAGUCUGCAACUCGACUCCAUGAAGUCGGAAUCGCUAGUAAUCGCAAAUCAGAAUGUUGCGGUGAAUACGUUCCCGGGCCUU
Molecule: ribosomal RNA, 298 nt
Filed under: uncultured Alishewanella sp.
Lineage: Bacteria; Pseudomonadati; Pseudomonadota; Gammaproteobacteria; Alteromonadales; Alteromonadaceae
Description: partial 16S ribosomal RNA
Rfam family: Bacterial small subunit ribosomal RNA
Source: RNAcentral